Molecule: ribosomal RNA, 505 nt
Filed under: uncultured bacterium
Lineage: Bacteria
Description: partial 16S ribosomal RNA
Rfam family: Bacterial small subunit ribosomal RNA
Source: RNAcentral
GACGAACGCUGGCGGCGUGCCUAAUACAUGCAAGUCGAACGCACAGUUUAUACCUUCGCUUUCUUCACCAUAGACUGUGAGUUGCGAACGGGUGAUUAACUCGUAGGUAACCUGCCUUGUAGCGGGGGAUAACUAUUUGACACGAUAGCUAAUACCUCAUAAUAUUAAUUAUUGCAUAGUAAUUGAUUGAAAGGUUCAACUGCAUCACUACCAGAUGGAUCUGCGUUGUAUUAGCUAGUAGGUGAGGUAACGGCUCACCUAGUCGACGAUACAUAGACGACCGGAGAGGGGGGUCGGCCACACUGGGACGGAGACACGGCCCAGAGGACUAAGGGAGGCAGCAGUAGGGAAUCGUAGGCAAUGGACGAAAGUCUGACAGGGCAACGCCGCGGGAGUGAAGAAGGGUGUCGGAUCGGAAAGAUCGGUUGUGAGAGAAGAACGGGUGUGAGAGUGGAAAGUGCACACUGUGACGGUAGCUAAACAGAAAGGGACGGCUAACUACGUG